This 3828-nucleotide long non-coding RNA is filed under the name Homo sapiens (human). Its description in RNAcentral is "PCBP1 antisense RNA 1, transcript variant 57 (PCBP1-AS1)". The record is from RNAcentral. Lineage: Eukaryota; Metazoa; Chordata; Mammalia; Primates; Hominidae.
GUCCCCGGCGUCCGGGCGCCCUGCAUGGAUCCCCCACCCCAGCUCCUGCUCCCCGGCGGCGGCCGGUGGGCAGAAAGACCGAAACCCACUCACGGCCGCCUGCCGAAUCGCGGCUCUGCUGUUUGUGGGGCGUGCUAGAAACGUGGUCCUAAAAAGAAUGGCGUCCAUUUACAUAAUGCUUUGUUUGCGUUUCGCAAGUUUCUUUCGGUUAAAGCCACAGAAACCCCACCUCCUGCCCUUGUGUCGUUUCCACCGCGGCACCCUUUUCCGACAUUAGAAACAAUAGUGUACGCCUGUGGAGGCCUCGUUUGUUCAGGGGCUGCCGGCCAGGGCUUCAGGACGUUUCUGCGGCUUUCCCCGCGCGGCCUGGGCUCCCGCGGCUGCUUUUCGGGCCCAUGGGCGCAGCCACUGCGCCAGGCUCAAGGGGGGCGGCCCCGUCAGGGCCCGCCAUCUUGGAAGGCCUUUUUUGCCGGUUCUUCCCGCUGAGGAAGUGUCGCUCAAGACGCUGGCCUAUGAGUUGUGAUUUCUGCCUUUUCCCCUUCCUCCUUGGGCUAAGCCAGACCAGAAAGGGCCCCGUGCGCAACGUGCUUCACAAUCUCUCAGGGAAAGCGGCUAACGUGGCGCUACUCCGCCUCCCCUGUUCCUUACCCUUGGGGCGGCCGCCAUGUUUCCUGAACACAAAAUGGCGACACGUGGUUAGCAUUCGUCGCCAACGAGAAAUUGGGGUCGGCCCGAAAGCUCUAGAAUGCACCCCUCUUCCUCCCCGGGGCCUUCCACCUCCGCGAGUUUUAUGACUUAAAAAAGCCCACAGGCUGGUCUGAAGGUCGGAGGCCUAAUUUUAACGCGUUUUCCUCCCUUUAAUUUGAAACGGGAACGCGAAUGACUGUAAAAUGUGGGCACAAUAUUUAAUCUCUCGCCUUUUUAAAGCUUAAUAGUGGAUAAUAGGGGGGCAGUAUCAAGGGAUAAUUUGGGUCCCCACAGUACCAAAGCAUUUAGAAACCUCUGUUUAAUUUAAGGAAUGAGAUAAGUUACUGCUUUUCUAGACUUCCUAGCAUGGGCUGUUGUGCUGGAGAGAACGAGAGCUACGAAGAGACUACAGUGCCUCUGACUUUUUCAUAGGACAGUUGGCCGAGGAAGACAAACAUAAAGAUGAAGUGCUUAAUUCAAGGUCACACAAUGUCGGGGAUGGACCUCCAGAUUUCCUUACUGGUGAGACGUGGUCUUGUAACACAGUGGUUAAGAAUGUGACUUUGGAGCCAGCCUGCUAGGGGCUGAAUUCUGACUCAGCCAUUUACUAACUGUGUGACCUUAGGUAAGUCAUUUACCUUCUUUGUCCCUCAGUUUCAUCUCGGUUAAGUAGGGAUAAUGAUAGCACCUAUUUUAUAGGGUUAUUGUGAGGAAUAAAUCCAAGUAAAAUGCUUAGAAUAGUAACUGAAACAUAGCACUCAUUAGGAAUGCUUUAAUUUUCAUUUAUUUGAGUAUUAAAGGUUGAAUUUUCAGAGGUAUUUUGGACCUUUGUAUUUUUUCUUUAAAUCACUUAUUCAUGACUUUUGAACUUUUUUUUUUCUUUUAGAGACAGGGUCUUGGUUUGUUGUCUAGGCUGGAAUGCAGUGGUGCAAUCAUAGCUCACUGUAGCCUUGAACUCUUGGGCUCAAGAGAUCCUCCUGCCUCAGCCUCGUGAGUAGCUGGGCCUACAGGCGCCUGCUACCACACCUGGCUAAUUUUUUAUUUUUUGUAGAGAUGGGUUCUUGCAGCCCAGACUGGUCUUGAGCUUUGGCCUGAAGUGCUCCUCCUGCCUUGGCCUCUCAAAGCAUUGGGGUUACAGGUGUGAAGCACUGCACCUUGCCUACACAUUUUUUCCAAUAAUUUUUUUUAUUAAUUUGUAAGAGUUAACAUGUCGACUAUCAUAUAUAACAUAGAAUUGUUCCCAUUUUGUCAUUUCCUUUCAACUUUGUCUAUGUAGCUUUUUUUCUGUGUGCAAAUUUUACAUUUUUAGGUAGUCAGAAAAUCUCUUCCCUUGUAAUUUUUUCUGCUACUAGACCAAUGUUUAGAAAAAAGCGUGCUUCCCCACCUCAAAAUUAUAAAAAUAGUUACUUGUUCUUUUUGAGUACUGUGUGUGUUUAAAUCUUUAAUCUUUAAAUUUAAAUCUUUGAUCCAUCUGGUAUUUAUUUUGAUAUGAAGAGAGUGGUUGGGAUCUGGCUGUAUUUCUUUUUUCUUUUUUUUUCUUUUUUCUUUUUUUGACGAAGUCUCACUGUUGCUCAGGCUGGAGUGCAAUGGCAUGAUCUCGGCUCAUCACAACCUCUGCUUCCUGGGUUCAAGCGAUUCUCCUGCCUCAGCCUCCCGAGUACCUGGGACUACAGGCACUCGCCACCAUGCCCGGCUGAUUUUUGUAUUUUUAAUAGAGAUGGUUUCACUAUGUUGGCCAGGCUGGUCUCGAACUCCUGACCUUGUGAUCUGCCCACCUCAGCCUCGAAAAGUGCUGGGAUUACAGGCGUGAGCCACUGCGCCCAGCCUUGUAUUUUUUUUCAGUUUGGGUAGCUGUCCCUAAUUCAUUUGUUAAAGGAGAAGCAAGAGCAAGAACCUUUAAUCUGUUCUCCUCUUCCCUAAUUUGAAAGUAGCUUGUUAUUUUGAAUAUCACUUUCUCUGAAAUAGCACAUCUCCAUCUCAGAGAAUGGAUUUAAUGUUUGGAUACAGCCAAAAGUCAUUUCAUUACCAAACCAUGGGGUGAAUAUACCAUGUAAAGCAGUUUGGGAUCAGAACUCACAGUCUGAAUUGUAAGUGAUGAGACUGCUGUCUCUCUGCUACAGCUUCUUGGCUGGCUCUGAAGGCUCUUUGAAGGCAGAUCCUAACAAGGGGACUGCUUUGAAGGGCCAUUGUUCAUUUGGAAUGAUAAAGUCUAUGUUGUUCAAAAAACAAAUGCUUGUAGCAGGUAUUUUUUCACUCCAGACUGAGAAUAUUGGUGGGAUAUUGAUAAGGGGUACUGAAUGGUAAUAAACAUGUGCUCUAGCUCUGUGCUAGUCAGCUUAUUUCAGAACUCUAGUUUGAUUCAGUUUCUUGCCUCUGACUCAAAAUGGAGGGAGAGUGAUUUUUACAUAAGAGAACACACCCACAUAUCCUUUUGGCAGCAGCUACCUGCCAGAGAUGUUGAAGAAGAGUAGCCAACCUUUACACAGCAGAUAUUGUGUGCCAGUCAUAGUCCUAAGUAUAAUACCUUACAUGUAUAAACUUCUUAUAAGGUUGGUGCUCUGUACCGAAUUGAAUAGUAUCCCCCAAAAUUCAUGUUGUCCCAGAACCUAUGAAAGUGAUCUUACUUGAGGGAGGGGGGAGGGGGGAGGGAUAGCAUUAGGAGAUAUACCUAAUGCUAAAUGACGAGUUAAUGGGUGUAGCACACCAGCAUGGCACAUGUAUACAUAUGUAACUAACCUGCACAUUGUGCACAUGUACCCUAAAACUUAAAGUAUAAUAAUAAUAAAAUAAAAAAAAAAAAGAAAGUGAUCUUACUUGGAAAUAAGGUCUUUGCACAUAUGAUCAAGUUGAGAUGAAGUUGUACUGGAAAGUCUGUCUAGUGACUGGUGUUGUCAUAAGAAGAGAGGGACACAGAGGGAAGAUGGCCACAUGAAGAUGGAGGCAGAGAUUGCAGUUAUGCUGCUGCAAACUAAGGAAUGGCUCUGGCCCUCCAAGGAUUGCUGAUAACCACCAGAAACUAGAAGAGACAAGGAAGGAUUCUUCCCUAGAGCCUUCAGAGGGAGCAUGGCCCUACUGACACCUGGAUUUCAAACUUGUAGCUUCCUAAACUGCAAGAGAAUAAAUUUCUGUUGUUUUAAGCCA